UUGCUCAAGGCCACACAGCUGCGAGUGGAGCCCACUGCCUCUGCUCCUCCACUGCUCCACACUGCCCUGCAAAAAGGAGGAGGCCAGUCUCGUUUCUUGGGGAAGGGUGAGGGAGACAAGACGCUGAGCUUACACAGCCCCACUCCCUCCAGAGCUACACGCCAGGGACCCCUGCCCAGACCUGCCUGGAAUGGCUGCUCCUGUGUUGGCCUCCAGCUCAGCCGUGCAUGGAUACAGGAAGACCAAUAGCCAGAGGCUGAAGGGCCAUAGGAAGGAUGCUGGGGCAGCAUCAGCUCCGUGGAGGGGCCCAUGGACCACUCUUACAUUUAAAUCCAUCUGCCAGUCAUCUAGUAGAUACUGUCUGGCUACUCACCCAGCUUCCACCACCUUUUCUGCUGUCUCAAGAACCCAGAUAUUUUUUGUCGUGGUCCCCCCAGUCCUCUCUCGUUAGAGGCCCCAGGAAGAGCCCUCAAAGGCGGAGCUCUCCAGACACUGUCAUGAGCAAAUGCGAGCCCAGGACAGCCGUGGCCACCCGGCAACACACCUUGUGGAGGGAAGUGUGCACCACUCAGGGGGACUGAGGGACCAGAGCAGGUGCCAUGGGAGAUGCCCACCCUGCAGCCCCUGGCCUCCGCUUGUCUCUCUUACGCUGGUCAAACGCAAGUUAACAUGGGUUCCAGCUGGAUGCCGAGUUGAACUCUGCGUUUGCACUCCUGCUGCACCCGCCGUGGCACACUCAGCCAGGGGCCUGUGCUGCUUCUCUCUGCCUGGAAGGGGCAUGGCUACAUGU
Molecule: long non-coding RNA, 790 nt
Filed under: Homo sapiens (human)
Lineage: Eukaryota; Metazoa; Chordata; Mammalia; Primates; Hominidae
Description: HSALNT0225773
Source: RNAcentral